GUGUGUGUGUGUGUGUGUGUGUGUGUACCUGUCUGUUCAGGGUCUGAGGGAGGGAUCCAUGCUGCUGGUGGAGGGAGACAAAGCCACGCUGCUGGGAACCACCAGGGCCAGACUCUUCACCAGGGGAAAGCCUUCAGUGGAGUACGAACCAGGAAGUGACCUCAGCUUCCUGCUGACUCACUGACCAAUCAGAGAGCAGAUCUGGACGACAUUUUGCUCCAAACAGAAUAAAAAUUUGACAGAAACGUCA
Molecule: non-coding RNA, 250 nt
Organism: Plectropomus leopardus (leopard coralgrouper)
Lineage: Eukaryota; Metazoa; Chordata; Actinopteri; Perciformes; Serranidae
Source: RefSeq, a predicted model, not a curated record